GUUCCGGUAGCUCAGGGGUAGUAGCGACAGAUUGCAAUCGAGCAAGUAUCUGUAGGUCGCGAGUUCAAAUCUCGCCCGGAACU
Molecule: non-coding RNA, 83 nt
Organism: Malassezia nana
Lineage: Eukaryota; Fungi; Basidiomycota; Malasseziomycetes; Malasseziales; Malasseziaceae
Source: the annotation of a GenBank genome assembly